GAACGCUAGCUACAGGCUUAACACAUGCAAGUCGAGGGGCAGCAUGGUCUUAGCUUGCUAAGGCCGAUGGCGACCGGCGCACGGGUGAGUAACACGUAUCCAACCUGCCGUCUACUCUUGGACAGCCUUCUGAAAGGAAGAUUAAUACAAGAUGGCAUCAUGAGUCCACAUGUUCACAUGAUUAAAGGUAUUCCGGUAGACGAUGGGGAUGCGUUCCAUUAGAUAGUAGGCGGGGUAACGGCCCACCUAGUCUUCGAUGGAUAGGGGUUCUGAGAGGAAGGUCCCCCACAUUGGAACUGAGACACGGUCCAAACUCCUACGGGAGGCAGCAGUGAGGAAUAUUGGUCAAUGGGCGCAGGCCUGAACCAGCCAAGUAGCGUGAAGGAUGACUGCCCUAUGGGUUGUAAACUUCUUUUAUAAAGGAAUAAAGUCGGGUAUGCAUACCCGUUUGCAUGUACUUUAUGAAUAAGGAUCGGCUAACUCCGUGCCAGCAGCCGCGGUAAUACGGAGGAUCCGAGCGUUAUCCGGAUUUAUUGGGUUUAAAGGGAGCGUAGAUGGAUGUUUAAGUCAGUUGUGAAAGUUUGCGGCUCAACCGUAAAAUUGCAGUUGAUACUGGAUAUCUUGAGUGCAGUUGAGGCAGGCGGAAUUCGUGGUGUAGCGGUGAAAUGCUUAGAUAUCACGAAGAACUCCGAUUGCGAAGGCAGCCUGCUAAGCUGCAACUGACAUUGAGGCUCGAAAGUGUGGGUAUCAAACAGGAUUAGAUACCCUGGUAGUCCACACGGUAAACGAUGAAUACUCGCUGUUUGCGAUAUACAGCAAGCGGCCAAGCGAAAGCGUUAAGUAUUCCACCUGGGGAGUACGCCGGCAACGGUGAAACUCAAAGGAAUUGACGGGGGCCCGCACAAGCGGAGGAACAUGUGGUUUAAUUCGAUGAUACGCGAGGAACCUUACCCGGGCUUAAAUUGCAGAUGAAUUACGGUGAAAGCCGUAAGCCGCAAGGCAUCUGUGAAGGUGCUGCAUGGUUGUCGUCAGCUCGUGCCGUGAGGUGUCGGCCUAAGUGCCAUAACGAGCGCAACCCUUGUUGUCAGUUACUAACAGGUUCCGCUGAGGACUCUGACAAGACUGCCAUCGUAAGAUGUGAGGAAGGUGGGGAUGACGUCAAAUCAGCACGGCCCUUACGUCCGGGGCUACACACGUGUUACAAUGGGGGGUACAGAGGGCCGCUACCACGCGAGUGGAUGCCAAUCCCAAAAACCUCUCUCAGUUCGGACUGGAGUCUGCAACCCGACUCCACGAAGCUGGAUUCGCUAGUAAUCGCGCAUCAGCCACGGCGCGGUGAAUACGUUCCCGGGCCUUGUACACACCGCCCGUCAAGCCAUGGGAGCCGGGGGGUACCUGAAGUGCGUAACCGCGAGGAGCGCCCUAGGGUAAAACUGGUGACUGGGGC
Molecule: ribosomal RNA, 1447 nt
Filed under: uncultured organism
Description: 16S ribosomal RNA
Rfam family: Bacterial small subunit ribosomal RNA
Source: RNAcentral